GGCAUGUGGCUUAAUGGUAAAGUGCUCGCCUGGCAUGUGUGAAGUCCAGGCUUCCAUCCCCAGCACCA
RNAcentral lists this transfer RNA (68 nucleotides) under Marmota monax (woodchuck). RNAcentral describes it as "tRNA.Ala". The record is from RNAcentral. Lineage: Eukaryota; Metazoa; Chordata; Mammalia; Rodentia; Sciuridae.